AGUGAACGCUGGCGGUGGGCCUAACACAUGCAAGUCGAACGGCAGCACAGAGGAGCUUGCUCCUUGGGUGGCGAGUGGCGGACGGGUGAGGAAUACAUCGGAAUCUACUCUGUCGUGGGGGAUAACGUAGGGAAACUUACGCUAAUACCGCAUACGACCUACGGGUGAAAGCAGGGGACCUUCGGGCCUUGCGCGAUUGAAUGAGCCGAUGUCGGAUUAGCUAGUUGGCGGGGUAAAGGCCCACCAAGGCGACGAUCCGUAGCUGGUCUGAGGGGAUGAUCAGCCACACUGGAACUGAGACACGGUCCAGACUCCUACGGGAGGAAGCAGUGGGGAAGAUUUGACAAUGGGCGCAAGCCUGAUCCAGCCAUACCGCGUGGGUGAAGAAGGCCUUCGGGUUGUAAAGCCCUUUUGUUGGGAAAGAAAUCCAGCUGGCUAAUACCCGGUUGGGAUGACGGUACCCAAAGAAUAAGCACCGGCUAACUUCGUGCCAGCAGCCGCGGUAA
Molecule: ribosomal RNA, 506 nt
Filed under: uncultured bacterium
Lineage: Bacteria
Description: partial 16S ribosomal RNA
Rfam family: Bacterial small subunit ribosomal RNA
Source: RNAcentral